RNAcentral lists this ribosomal RNA (468 nucleotides) under uncultured bacterium. Its description in RNAcentral is "partial 16S ribosomal RNA". It matches the Rfam family "Bacterial small subunit ribosomal RNA", at positions 28 to 507 of the family's 1533-position model. The record is from RNAcentral.
GACGAACGCUGGCGGCGUGCUUAACACAUGCAAGUCGAACGGAAAGGCCCUGCUUUUGUGGGGUGCUCGAUUGGCGAACGGGUGAGUAACACGUGAGUAACCUGCCCUUGACUUUGGGAUAACUUCAGGAAACUGGGGCUAUUACCGGAUAGGAGCUCCUGCUGCAUGGUGGGGGAUGGACAGUUUCGGCGGUUGGGUAUGGACUCGCGGCUUAUCAGCUUGUUGGUGGGGUAGUGGCUUACCAAGGCUUUGACGGGUAGCCGGCCUGAGAGGGUGACCGGCCACAUUGGGCCUGAGAUACGGACCAGAAUCCUACGGGCGGCAGCAGGGGGGAAUAUUGCACAAUGGGCGGAAGCCUGUUGCAGCAGCGCCGCGUGCGGGAUAACGGGCUUCUGGUUGUAAACCGAUUUCGCCUGUGACGAAGCGUGAGUGACGGUAAUGGGUAAAGAAGCCCCGGCUAACUACGUG